GUGAAUCAUCAAAUCUUUGAACGCAAAUUGCACUUUCUGGUAUUCCGGAAAGUAUGCCUGUUUGAGGGUCAGUUAAAUAAACAUCGGUGUUGUUGUUGUUUUUAGUGGUGACGGGUCGGAAUUGAGUUGUCUUAGCUUCGGUUAAGUGUCUUAAAAUUUUGCAUGAUUUUCGAACGUAUUUAAAUUUCUUAAGUAUGUUUAGGAUAUCGAAUACUUUAUUAGGUUCGGUCAUCCUCAUGAUUCGCAUCUCUAAUUUUUCUUUAAAUGACCUCAAUUUAGGUAAGGAUACUU
RNAcentral lists this unclassified non-coding RNA (291 nucleotides) under Glomus sp. Its description in RNAcentral is "partial contains 5.8S ribosomal RNA and internal transcribed spacer 2". The stretch from base 1 to 71 matches the Rfam family "5.8S ribosomal RNA", at positions 84 to 154 of the family's 154-position model. The record is from RNAcentral. Lineage: Eukaryota; Fungi; Glomeromycota; Glomeromycetes; Glomerales; Glomeraceae.